This 495-nucleotide ribosomal RNA is filed under the name uncultured bacterium. RNAcentral describes it as "partial 16S ribosomal RNA". It matches the Rfam family "Bacterial small subunit ribosomal RNA", at positions 28 to 507 of the family's 1533-position model. The record is from RNAcentral.
GACGAACGCUGGCGGCGUGCCUAAUACAUGCAAGUAGAACGCUGACUGCGGAGCUUGCUUCUCUGGAUGACUUGCGACCGGGUGAGUAACGCGUAGGUAACCUGCCUGUUAGCGGGGGAUAACUAUUUGCCACGAUAUCUAAUACCGCAUAACAGUAGAUAUCGCAUGAUAUCUACUUGAAAGGUGCAAUUGCAUCUCUACCAGAUGGAUCUGCGGUGUAUUAUCUAUUUGGUGUGUUAGCGGCUCACCAAGGCCACGAUGCAUAGCCGACCUGACAGGGUGAGCGGCAACACUGGGACUGAGACACGGCCCAGACCACUACGGGAGGGAGCAGUAGGGAAUUCUCGGGAAUGGACGGAAGUCUGACCGAGCAACGCCGCGUGAGUGAAGAAGGUUUUCGGGUCGUGAAGCUCUGUAGUAAGAGAAGAACGAGUGGGAGAGUGGAAAGUGCACACAGUGACGGUAUCUUACCAAAAAGAGACGGCUAACUACGUG